This 439-nucleotide ribosomal RNA is filed under the name uncultured bacterium. RNAcentral describes it as "partial 16S ribosomal RNA". It matches the Rfam family "Bacterial small subunit ribosomal RNA", at positions 339 to 795 of the family's 1533-position model. The record is from RNAcentral.
CUACGGGAUGCUCCAGUGGGGGAUAUUGCACAAUGGGCGAAAGCCUGAUGCAGCAACGCCGCGUGAAGGAAGACGGAUUUCGGUCUGUAAACUUCUAUCAGCAGGGAAGAAAAUGACUGUACCUGACUAAGAAGCCCCGGCUAACUACGUGCCAGCAGCCGCGGUAAUACGUAGGGGGCAAGCGUUAUCCGGAAUUACUGGGUGUAAAGGGUACGUAGGCGGUUUAAUAAGUCAGAGGUGAAAGCCCGGGGCUCAACCCCGGGACUGCAUUUGAAACUGUUAAACUAGAGUGCAGGAGAGGAAAGUGGAAUUCCUAGUGUAGCGGUGAAAUGCGUAGAUAUUAGGAAGAACACCAGUGGCGAAGGCGGCUUUCUGGACUGUAACUGACGCUGAGGUACGAAAGCGUGGGGAGCGAACAGGAUUAGAUACCCCGGUAGUC